RNAcentral lists this ribosomal RNA (877 nucleotides) under Minervarya asmati (Bangladeshi cricket frog). RNAcentral describes it as "partial large subunit ribosomal RNA". It matches the Rfam family "Bacterial large subunit ribosomal RNA", at positions 1473 to 2606 of the family's 2925-position model. The record is from RNAcentral. Lineage: Eukaryota; Metazoa; Chordata; Amphibia; Anura; Dicroglossidae.
CCUUACCCAACAAUUCCCUCUUCCUUCACGAACCCUGUUUAUAAUAUUGAAUAACCUUAUAAAAUUAUAAGAGAUAUAAUGUUAAAACUAGUAACAUGAAGACAGCCCUUCUCCAUAAUGCAAGCAAACACCAAAACGGACUAACCAUUGGCUUUUAACGUCCAUGAACCCAACCUAGCAACACCCCCUGCGAAAACCCUACGCCCAUCCCACGUUAACCUUACACUAGAGCAUUACUGGAAAGAUAAAAAGAAAAAGAAGGAACUCGGCAAACCUAGAUCCCGCCUGUUUACCAAAAACAUCGCCUCUUGAAAUUCUGCUCUUAUAAGAGGUCCAGCCUGCCCAGUGAUAUUUUUUAACGGCCGCGGUACUCUGACCGUGCGAAGGUAGCAUAAUCACUUGUUCUUUAAAUGAGGACUAGUAUCAACGGCAUCACGAGGAUUUUACUGUCUCCUUUUUCCUAUCGGUGAAACUGAUCUCCCCGUGAAGAAGCGGGGAUAAUUCUAUAAGACGAGAAGACCCCAUGGAGCUUUAAACCCAGAGACACCUCAAACCCCCCUUUCCAUAAAAGUUUUUAUGUGCUGUCCUCUGGUUUUAGGUUGGGGUGACCGCGGAGUAAAACUUAACCUCCACAACGCACGGAACUUCUUCCUUAUCUAAGAGCAACAUCUCAAAGAAUUGACAUAUUGACGUAAAAUGAUCCAAUAACUUUUAUUUUGAUCAACGAACCAAGUUACCCUGGGGAUAACAGCGCAAUCCAUUUCCAGAGCCCCUAUCGACAAAUGGGUUUACGACCUCGAUGUUGGAUCAGGGUAUCCCAGUGGUGCAGCCGCUACUAAUGGUUUGUUUGUUCAACAAUUAAAACCCUACGUGAUCU